This 2174-nucleotide small RNA is filed under the name Cryptococcus neoformans H99. RNAcentral describes it as "Cryptococcus neoformans var. grubii H99 hypothetical RNA". The record is from RNAcentral. Lineage: Eukaryota; Fungi; Basidiomycota; Tremellomycetes; Tremellales; Cryptococcaceae.
UCUACACGUUAUUUUUUCUUCCUAUUUUUUUUGGUGUGGCCAGCGGCCAGGCACCUCUCACCACCACAACCCAUCAUUAUUAUGGUUAUUGGUGGUCGGUGGCCAUCAAUCAUGUCAUGUUCUGGUGACGAUGUCCACCAUCACUUGUCGUGAUGUUGGUGACGAGGUAGUUAUUAAAAAGGAUCUUCUGAGGAGAGGAGUUUGUAGGGCAGGGUAGUAGUACGAUUAAGUGAAAAAGUGAAGCCCAAAACUAUGACUAAGUGGAAAGAGAGGGUCAGGAACAACAUGAAGAGGGACUGGUGGGACGUUUUCAGUGAAGAAUGACCGAGAGAGUUAUUCCGUAAUGUUUCGUUGCACGAACAUCUAAACUGCACAAGUGACUGAUUUCAUGAACAACAUUCUAUUUGCUUGUAAUUAUCUAACUGGAGCAAGAUAUAAACAGGAGGAAAGAUACAAUACAAACGUUAUGAUACACCUUAACCCCGGUUAGGAGGAUUCUUAUCUCUUCCCUGGGUGUCUUCAUUGUUUUGAAGAAUGCUGUUCGCCGAAAGCCUGCCGAAAAAUGUCCUCCUCCGCGACCCUUUUCCUCUUCCUCUGGGCCUGACUCUGUCGUAUUUCGGCCCUUGCACAAUGGGCGACUCGUUUGCCAUCCAAGAAUUAUCACCAGGCUGGAUGUGUUUCGUCACUAGUUGCUGGUUUUGUAGUUGAUGCGCUAACGCUUCAAAAGAUGUGAAGUACCAGCUUUGGCUUCCUUGCGCUUGGGGCGCUGGCAUAUACGUCGGCAAUGGAUUCUGACCAUGAAUGUCUAGAUGGCACAUAAGUUCCUCAAGAUAUUCGGGGUCAAACUGAAGCGAGGCACUUGGAGAGGAUAGAUGUUGACGAAGGGGAAGGUUAAAUGGCGGCUGUUUGAGAUGAUCAUGGGUAUCAGGGAAAUUGUUGACUCGUGCUUGAAUCGGUUGAUUGCAACAGUCCGACAUAGGAUCACGGUUCAGAAGAGGCCGCCUCGCCAACCAAGGUGAAGAAGAGUAUGAGUUCUCUUCGCUGCGAGAGGCUGUAGAUGCACUGGCCACACUAACCGCCUCGUCAACCCCUCGAUGGCAGUCCUGGGGUUUGCGAUUCGUCGGAACGAUGACUGCCCUUGAGCCUCUACAAAUGCUAUUGAACCUCUUCUCAAUGGGGAGGGUAGUGAUGAGUCGUGCCCGCCUGUUUGAACAGGCAAAAGGGACUUCCUCCAAUCCUGCGUUACUAUGAAACCCUCAUCGCUCGCCUUUUUUGUCGUCCUUCCUGGCUGGGGAGGAUAGGGUAGAUUGUUCUCCACACAGUACGCCUUAAGCUCGUCGUCGUCAUAUAUGGCCUUGACGGUCCCGUUUUCCUCUUUGUAAGCCACUGGUUUGAGUUUCAUGUUAGUUUGAAACCCCUGGUGUGCGAGACAAAGGCUCAUCGAGGGGAAAUACCGGGUAUUGGGCUGUCAUCGGAAUUGUGUGGGGCUGUUCAGCGAAUUGCUUAUCAUGAGGUGAUUGAAAAUGUGCUUCCCCUGCUGGAGGGUAGGCCAUCGAGGAUGAUUGGCCAUUCGUGGAUUGAGGAUUCUGGAAUGCUUCGGAUAGAGGAUAUAAGAACUGAUCCGCGGUCGUUAUGCCGUUGGAUAGCUGCCCUACAUUCCAAAAUGAAUUGGCAAUCUAAUCAUUACAAGCUCAGUAACUCCCCUACACGUUCGAAGAUAUACAAAAAACUGACUGGCAUAAUAUGGUCAUAGGAGAAAGCAGGUGGAGAUAAUGAAAAUCGAGGGGGAAAAGUGGCCACAGGCAUACCAAUACCUACACUGGGUUGCAAAAAUCCCGGUUGCUGGGACAGCAUCGGUACGUAGGUAGCAGAAGGCAUGUUAAGGCCAGGUGAAAAUUGAGGCUGUUGUAUCCUGGCCUCAAUCGCUGACUGAGAUUCUGUGACUCGCUUUACAACAGGUUCACGGGCCAAGUUCGACAACGUCGGGGGCCUGACGAUACGUCCAGUAAGGUCAACAUAUACACGUCUGGUCUUGUUUCAGAGGUAAUUCAGCCAACAAUAUCCUGGUCGAAUACUAGCCACUCACAUGCACGUCCGAAUGAAUAACUCUCCGCAAUUCAACUUUGAUCGCAGUGCCGAACGAGAUUGACCCAUUCUGGGUGAAAGGAUAAGUA